UGGGGGAACCCUGAUGCAGCCAUGCCGCGUGUGUGAAGAAGGCCUUCGGGUUGUAAAGCACUUUCAGCAGUGAGGAAGAGGUGGUGUUUAAUAGAUGCCAUCUUUGACGUUAGCUGCAGAAGAAGCACCGGCUAACUCCGUGCCAGCAGCCGCGGUAAUACGGAGGGUGCGAGCGUUAAUCGGAAUUACUGGGCGUAAAGCGCAUGCAGGCGGCGUGUUAAGCCAGAUGUGAAAGCCCGGGGCUCAACCUCGGAAUCGCAUUUGGAACUGGCAUGCUAGAGUCUUGUAGAGGGGGGUAGAAUUUCAGGUGUAGCGGUGAAAUGCGUAGAGAUCUGAAGGAAUACCGGUGGCGAAGGCGGCCCCCUGGACAAAGACUGACGCUCAGAUGCGAAAGCGUGGGGAGCAAACAGGAUUAGAUACCCUGGUAGUCCACGCCGUAAACGAUGUCUACUUGGAGGUUGGUGUCUUGAACACUGGCUUUCGGAGCUAACGCGUUAAGUAGACCGCCUGGGGAGUACGGUCGCAAGAUUAAAACUCAAAUGAAUUGACGGGGGCCCGCACAAGCGGUGGAGCAUGUGGUUUAAUUCGAUGCAACGCGAAGAACCUUACCUACUCUUGACAUCCAGAGAACUUUCCAGAGAUGGAUUGGUGCCUUCGGGAACUCUGAGACAGGUGCUGCAUGGCUGUCGUCAGCUCGUGUUGUGAAAUGUUGGGUUAAGUCCCGCAACGAGCGCAACCCUUAUCCUUGUUUGCCAGCACUUCGGGUGGGAACUCCAGGGAGACUGCCGGUGAUAAACCGGGAGGAAGGUGGGGACGACGUCAAGUCAUCAUGGCCCUUACGAGUAGGGCUACACACGUGCUACAAUGGCGUAUACAGAGGGCUGCGAGCCUAGCGAUAGUGAGCGAAUCCCACAAAGUUCGUUCGUAUUCCGGAUUGAUCUGCAACUCGACUUCUUGAAGUCGGAAUCGCUAGUAUCGUGGAUCAAUGCCACGGGUGAAUACGUUCCCGGCCUGGUACACACGGCCGUCACACAUGGGAAUUGGCUGCACAAAGCUAAUAGCUAACUUCGGGAGGGCUUUCUCCGGUGGGUCAUGGACUGGGGGGAA
This 1107-nucleotide ribosomal RNA is filed under the name Photobacterium sp. TXc1-3. Its description in RNAcentral is "bacterial SSU rRNA". It matches the Rfam family "Bacterial small subunit ribosomal RNA", at positions 372 to 1484 of the family's 1533-position model. Lineage: Bacteria; Pseudomonadati; Pseudomonadota; Gammaproteobacteria; Vibrionales; Vibrionaceae. The record is from RNAcentral.